This 322-nucleotide ribosomal RNA is filed under the name uncultured eukaryote. RNAcentral describes it as "partial 18S ribosomal RNA". It matches the Rfam family "Eukaryotic small subunit ribosomal RNA", at positions 1470 to 1796 of the family's 1831-position model. The record is from RNAcentral.
CCCUUAGAUGUUCUGGGCCGCACGCGCGCUACACUGAUGCGUUCAACAAGUUUCCUUGGCCGAGAGACCUGGGCAAUCUUCUUAAUAUGUAUCGUGAUAGGGAUAGAUUAUUGCAAUUAUUAAUCUUGAACGAGGAAUUCCUAGUAAACGCAGAUCAUCAAUCUGCAUUGAUUACGUCCCUGCCCUUUGUACACACCGCCCGUCGCACCUACCGAUUGGAUGUUCCGGUGAAGCCUCGGGAUGAGGACUGGUGCCUUUAUUGGCAUGAGUUGUUCAGAACUUGUCUAAACCUUAUCAUCUAGAGGAAGGUGAAGUCGUAACA